RNAcentral lists this ribosomal RNA (465 nucleotides) under Vreelandella stevensii. Its description in RNAcentral is "partial 16S ribosomal RNA". It matches the Rfam family "Bacterial small subunit ribosomal RNA", at positions 338 to 795 of the family's 1533-position model. The record is from RNAcentral. Lineage: Bacteria; Pseudomonadati; Pseudomonadota; Gammaproteobacteria; Oceanospirillales; Halomonadaceae.
CCUACGGGGGGCUGCAGUGGGGAAUAUUGGACAAUGGGGGGAACCCUGAUCCAGCCAUGCCGCGUGUGUGAAGAAGGCCCUCGGGUUGUAAAGCACUUUCAGUGAGGAAGAACGCCUGGUGGUUAAUACCCAUCAGGAAAGACAUCACUCACAGAAGAAGCACCGACUAACUCCGUGCCAGCAGCCGCGGUAAUACGGAGGGUGCGAGCGUUAAUCGGAAUUACUGGGCGUAAAGCGCGCGUAGGUGGCUUGAUAAGCCGGUUGUGAAAGCCCCGGGCUCAACCUGGGAACGGCAUCCGGAACUGCCAAGCUAGAGUGCAGGAGAGGAAGGUAGAAUUCCCGGUGUAGCGGUGAAAUGCGUAGAGAUCGGGAGGAAUACCAGUGGCGAAGGCGGCCUUCUGGACUGACACUGACACUGAGGUGCGAAAGCGUGGGUAGCAAACAGGAUUAGAUACCCUAGUAGUC